Molecule: ribosomal RNA, 460 nt
Filed under: uncultured bacterium
Lineage: Bacteria
Description: partial 16S ribosomal RNA
Rfam family: Bacterial small subunit ribosomal RNA
Source: RNAcentral
CCUACGGGUGGCAGCAGUGAGGACUAUUGGUCAAUGGACGAGAGUCUGAACCAGCCAAGUAGCGUGAAGGAUGACUGCCCUAUGGGUUGUAAACUUCUUUUAUAUGGGAAUAAAACGUUCCACGUGUGGGAUUUUGUAUGUACCAUAUGAAUAAGGAUCGGCUAACUCCGUGCCAGCAGCCGCGGUAAUACGGAGGAUCCGAGCGUUAUCCGGAUUUAUUGGGUUUAAAGGGAGCGUAGGUGGAUUGUUAAGUCAGUUGUGAAAGUUUGCGGCUCAACCGUAAAAUUGCAGUUGAAACUGGCAGUCUUGAGUACAGUAGAGGUGGGCGGAAUUCGUGGUGUAGCGGUGAAAUGCUUAGAUAUCACGAAGAACUCCGAUUGCGAAGGCAGUUCACUAGACUGCAACUGACACUGAGGCUCGAAAGUGUGGGUAUCAAACAGGAUUAGAUACCCUUGUAGUC